UACGGAGGAUGCAAGCGUUAUCCGGAAUUAUUGGGCGUAAAGCGCACGUAGGCGGCUUCGCAAGUCGGAUGUGAAAUCCCUCGGCUUAACCAAGGAAGUGCAUCCGAAACUGCAGAGCUUGAGUACCUAAGAGGAUCGCGGAAUUCCCGGUGUAGAGGUGAAAUUCGUAGAUAUCGGGAGGAACACCAGUGGCGAAGGCGGCGAUCUGGGAAGAUACUGACGCUGAGGUGCGAAAGCGUGGGGAGCAAACAGG
Molecule: ribosomal RNA, 253 nt
Filed under: uncultured bacterium
Lineage: Bacteria
Description: partial 16S ribosomal RNA
Rfam family: Bacterial small subunit ribosomal RNA
Source: RNAcentral